GACGAACGCUGGCGGCGUGCUUAACACAUGCAGGUCGAACGGUAAGGCCCUUCGGGGUACACGAGUGGCGAACGGGUGAGUAACACGUGGGUGAUCUGCCCUGCACCUCGGGAUAAGCCUGGGAAACUGGGUCUAAUACCGGAUAGGACCACUGCCUGCAUGGGUGGUGGUGGAAAGCUGUUGCGGUGUGGGAUGGGCCCGCGGCCUAUCAGCUUGUUGGUGGGGUUAUGGCCUACCAAGGCGACGACGGGUAGCCGGCCUGAGUGGGUGACCGGCCACAGUGGGACUGAGAUACGGACCAGGCGCCUACGGGAGGGAGCAGGGGGGAAUAUUGCACAAGUGGCGCAAGCCUGAUGCAGCGACGCCGCGUGAGGGAUGACGGCCUUCGGGUUGUAAACCUCUUUCAGCACCGACGAAGCGCAAGUGACGGUAGGUGCAGAAGAAGGACCGGCCAACUACGUGCCAGCCGCCGCAGUAA
Molecule: ribosomal RNA, 478 nt
Filed under: uncultured bacterium
Lineage: Bacteria
Description: partial 16S ribosomal RNA
Rfam family: Bacterial small subunit ribosomal RNA
Source: RNAcentral